Molecule: long non-coding RNA, 408 nt
Organism: Chiroxiphia lanceolata (lance-tailed manakin)
Lineage: Eukaryota; Metazoa; Chordata; Aves; Passeriformes; Pipridae
Exons: 4
Source: RefSeq, a predicted model, not a curated record
GCUCACUCUGAACUUCAGCUCAAGUGCAGAGUGAAGUUCCAGGCUGUCCAAUACGGCAGAACAGAAACAGCAACAACACACUAGCCACCUGCCAGCCCAGCAGACAGCCCAGGGCCCACUGAACUGUCCUGCAUGGCAGCAGACUGCAUACCAGGAUCUUCCCUUGAAUAGGAAACGCCUCCCAAGGUUACUCCUUGUGGCUGAGAGAUUCCUUGCUGCAUCAGAUUCUUGGCGUUAACAUUUUAGCAUGCAUAUUUGAAUGAGAAACUGGACAGAAUCCUAUAUAAACUUCUUCCACAGACUCAGCCAAUUACUCCACCCUACUGGGAAGUUAUAAGCCCAGAAGAUGGAGAUUGAGACUGCAGACGAAGUUGCUAUUGUUGGAAUAGGAUGCAACUUUCCUGGAGG